Long non-coding RNA from Prosopis cineraria, 4841 nucleotides. RefSeq lists it as uncharacterized. Lineage: Eukaryota; Viridiplantae; Streptophyta; Magnoliopsida; Fabales; Fabaceae. The record is from RefSeq and is a predicted model, not a curated record. The transcript has 3 exons.
CUUGUUGUUCUCUAUGUGUGUGUGUUUGUGUUAUGAUUGAGAUGGUGAUUCUUCUUCUUUUUUGCUGCUGUAAAUGUUGAGUAAGAAAGAUAAAUUAAUUUAAGCUGAAGUUCUUAGUAUUAAGAGAAAGAUAAUAAUUGAUAGAUUUGAGUUUUUAGGAGAAGAUUUGUUGAUGUUUAUAUGUGACUUGGGCAGAGAACUUUGAAAGUAAGAGGCUUGUUAUAUUGAUUUUUCUCUCUCGCACAUAAAGUUUUUGAUAGAAUGUUUGAGUGAAAAUUUUAUUUAAAUGAGUGCUUAAACUUGACUAAGUUAAUCCUAGUUAAAUUUCAAUAUUUAGGUCACUUGGUUUUUCAGUAAUGUAUGGAUAGGUAAAUAUGUGUUUUGUGUAUAUGUUUGUGACUAGGAUUGUGAAUUUUUGCUUGUUAUCUGUUCUGCUCCUAUGUGUGCCUGAGAUAGGAGGGGAUUUGAAUCAAAUGAGGAUAGUUUGGGUUGGAUUUUUUUUUUAAAUUCAAAUUGAUUCUUAUUGUAGAAUUUGAUUGGCAAAACAUGAUAAAUUCAAAAGUUAUAUUUGAUAUUGUUGGGAUGAGAUUUCAAGAGGAGAGUAUAGAAUUAGAAUCUGUCAAGAAUUGGGAGUUGAAGAACUUUUGUAUAUGUUAAUGAUUGAAGUCUAUUUAAAUUGUCUUUUGAGAAAUUACAAAAAUUAGUUUAUAAUUUAUAAUUGGGAUUUUGGGUUGCAUAUCAAUGUUCAAUGAAAUGAGUGAGAGUUUAACUUAAAUAUAACAAAGAAAUUUGAUCGUGAAGUGAUUGUGUGACUUUUUGAAUUUUUGGGCAUUGUAUAGUUGACAAUUUGUAAAUCAUGGUGUUUUAUGACUUGAUUUCAAGAAGUACUCAAGGUGUUUGAUAAAAUGAGUAUUAGAAGCAUUUUUAGAUUAAUGGAGUAAUUAAAUUUGGAGCAUGUCUACAUAUAUAUACUUUAAUUAAAAUUUAACUUCAUUAUUUGAUCAUUGUGAGGUAUUCUGGAAUUCUUCUCUUUUCCUUUAUGGUUGGUGUUGAAAUUUUGACUAUUCCUUGUUGUAUCAAUUGCUAUGCAUGUGUAGGGAAAAGGUUGAUGUUCUAACAAGCUCAAAUAAAAGAUUAGGAAGAAUCUCGGUUUAUUUGAAUUAAUUUUUUAUAAGAACAUGAUUUUGGGAAGCUUGGAAAAUUUAAGUAUUGAAGGUAGAAAAUUUUGGAAAAAGGUAGUUGGUUGAUAAUUUAAAGACCAAGUUUGUUUGUUUGUUUAUUCUUUUGUUAGUUUUUUGGGUGCAUAUAUAAUGUUUAUGAAAGGAAAAUUAUGAAAAUUGGAUAUGCAUGAUUGGAAAUGUUGAAUAAGUCAUAGUUGGAGUAUUUAUUUUCUAUAGAAAGAUUUGAAAACUUGGAAUAUAGUUUAUAUGCAUGUAUGUCAUAGAUUUAUUGAUUAAACUCAUCAAGGUAUUUUAUUGGUGAAAGAUUGAUGAUGAAAUUUUCUUUUCUAUUUCUCUAAAUUAGUUUAGAUUGAAAAUUUGAUUUAUAAAAUGUAUAAGAAAUAACAAUAAUAUCCCUUGGGGCAUUAGGGAAGUAAAGUAUGGGAAAUAUUACAAAAAUGGCUAACCAAGAGUAAGGUAUACGUUUGGAAAUGUCUCAGGUAAGUGGAUAACGUCUCAAUCAAUUUAUUUACAAAUUUUUCUUUUUAUCAAAUGCUAUUUUCAAUAAUCUGCAGUUAUUAAUAUUUUCAUAUUUUUCUAGUCCUGAUCUCUUUUGUUAAUUAAUUUACUCUAGGUCUUGAAGUCACGACAUAUGCUUUUAAAGUUGACGAAAAUGCUUUUACAAGUUCUAAGUUAUUCUCUAUUUGAAAAAGAUGUUCACAGAAAUUGGUAAACCGGUUUAUCAAAUAUUAGUUAUGAACUUUCAUGAUUAGAAGGAUUGAUGCUUUGACAAUUUAUACAUGUUUGAUAUUAAGAAGAGAAAAUUUUAUUUUGAAAGUGACUGUUUUUUUGCAUGUUCAAAAAUUGAUUUAAAAGGGACUUUCUACAUAACGCUGGUUGCUAACAGCAAUUCUAUUAGCCCUUGGCGUGCCAUGAUACACAUAGCUAGCAGGGUGUUUAUAGGAGGUGCUAGUCCGUGCGUAGGCCAACGCACAAGUAACGAAGGGAUAGAUAUUCAUGAGCAUUAUACUCACUCUUGUUUCAUGGCUUCUAGCCACGCUUGAUUAUUUCGUGGUCUAAGCUAUGCUUGUUGGUGAUUUACCAUCAUGGAUUGAGUGUCCACACUUAUUGAUUAUUUAGCCUCGUGGACUUUGUGUCCGCACUUCUUAAUUGUUUUGGUUAAGUCUCGCUAAACAUUUGAGUUUUGAAACUUAUCAUUUGUGCAAAAUGAUAUUAGUUAAAUGGACUGUAUUUCUUCACAUAGAUUUUUGUAAGGAGUUUCACAUAUAGUAAUUGUCUAAAAUAUAAAUUGAAGUAUGAAAAAAUGAAAUUCUAAUGCUAUGUCAUUAUUAUUUGGAUUCAUACAUAUAUGAUUCAUGUAUUUACAUAGAAUCAUGCUUGAGGUAUGAGCUUCUAAUUUGCUUUCAAAUAGAUAUUCUUGUAAAAUUCUUGUAUUUUUUUUAGGUACAUUUCUCUAUUUUCUUUAAUUUUUAAUUGGGACGUUAUUUAAUGGAAAGAUAUUUUGGCCUCAGAUAAUAUCAAUACUUAGGAUCUCCUGUUGAUCAUUGAGAGAAUUUAUCGUUGAACUGAAGUAGACGAAUUUCUUUGGAUAAAUCUCAACUCGAUUUAAAUGUGAGUUUAUGUAUUAUUUUUAUAAUCUGCUUCAUGUGCUCCACAAUAACUAUAAAUAGAAUCUUGAAUUGUAAUUUAUAUUAUUUGCCUGUUAUGAAGGAAUAGAGCUCAGUAUUAUUGAUUUGGUUCAGUAAAUGAUUGUUGUAAAAAUUUUGAAAGGAUUUAUUUGUAUGGGAGAUUCUGCCAAAAUUUCUACAAAAAGGUUGGGAUUGUUUUGUUUACAUGAAAGUGUUGCAAUGAUUUCUAGUCCUAUUUCAAACACACUAAGAUAUUAAAUUAGAGUUUUUCUUGAUAAAGGCUUAAAGGAUGUAUGUUUCUACAUAUAUCCUAUGCCAGUCACAUCUAAUUUUUGGGAUGUAACAAAUAGUUCCUUAGGAAAUUUGGCCUUGUCAUACUUUCCAUGCAGAUUACUUUGUAGGGAACCAUUUUCUCCUGCUUUAUUGUAGGUAAUAAAUUAAUAACCUAUAUUUGGUUUUGAUUUCUGGAUGGAGAGCUAGAUGGUAAUGAUCGAGUCAUGUUUAGGGAAGAACAUCGAACAACCAAUGGUAUGUCGUCUUUUGAUUGAAGUAUGUUAUGCUAAAUUUAUUUGAUCAUUUCUCCAGACACCUCAUCCCAAUGUUGGUUAUGCUUCGAGAAUGAAUAUUACUUGAUUAAUUUGUUGGCAAUAAGAAGAAUAUGUUAAAAGCUUCACAAAGUCACUAAUUUCUUAUGGAACAAAAGAAUUUAAAAUUUAGACUAGUAGUCUGUUCUUUCAUCAAGCCUAAAAAAGUCUAUUAUUCUUUUUGGAAUUUGUAUAAACAGGUCUGGUAGAUAAUUAUGAAUAUGAGUUAAUGAAUUUGAACUUUCAUAUUAUCAUGGUAAUUAACAUAUAAAAUAGUUAAAAUUAACUUGCAUUAUAUAUAUUCAAUCAAGAAAAAUUAUUCAAUUUACUUUUAUGUGCAAUUUUUUUUUAGCCUAUAGUUGAUUGUUUAACUCUUUUAGUUCUGGAUAAGUGCAGAAACUAUUUAUUUGAGAAUGUGCCAAUUUUAUGGCCUUUGCUUGGGUUUUUAAGAUUAAUGGGGGAAAAAAAGCUCAAACAUUACAUUGGGGUGGUUUCACUUCACUUUUCCAAGUAAAAAUGGCCAAGUAAAUAUGUAGGGUAAGUAUGCUAGGUCCAUAAUGCAUUGGAAUGAUGCUAUUGUUUUAUUUUUCUUUAACUGUUCAUCAUUUUAAUUCUUGUUCUGCUUUUUUUUUUAAUUUAACUUUCUUGAGUGUCAUUUUUUAGGUGAUUUGCUAGAUCAAGCGUCAUCAGUAUCCGUUCAAGUUUUGACGCUAAGCAAUCAAUUUAACACUCUUCAAUUUUCUGAGCCAUCUCAUACUACGCAAGUUGACACUGGCUGAAUCAGAUGGUGUAAAACAUGGAGAAGCAACUCAGGAAGAGCAAAAAUUUAUAGAUCUAAUGGAUAAGUUUCUCCCAUCACCACCAAAAGUUAAAUGCCUUGAAGACCUUCAAAGGCAAAUAUGAGGCGUGAAAGUGACAGGAAAGAGCAAGAAAAGAAGAAAGCACAUGAACUUGAGUUUGCCUCUGGGGGAACACAACCAGGAUUUUUUACUAGUGUUCCGAGGAUCAUUGUACCUAUUGCAAGUUAUAUAAAACAACCUAGUUUACCUAUGAUAGACAAAGUUCAUUCUUACUACUCAUAUUCCAUUUUAUCUUGAUUUUCUCCCUUCUCUCAUUUGGUUUUACUUUAUCUUCAGGUGGUUUGGAUUUGAUUCCUCCUACAGUUGGGGCCCCCAAUUAGGAUGGUAGAAAAAAAAAAUCAAAGUCGGACAAGGCAGCAAAAAUGAAGAGAGGUAGAGGAGAAAAGAUCAUCUGAAAGGAAGGAAAGAAGGUCAUGAACCCCACUCAUUUUGGUCUGUUAAACUAAUAGUUCUAGUCAUUUUUAAGUGCUUCAGAUUGUUCUUUACAAAUAUGUUCUUGUUCUAUUCAAUAACUUUUGUGGAGUCAUUAUUUUGUAUAUUAUAAAAUGUCUGAAAGAAAGUGUUCAAACUAUGCUUAUCACUGUAGCA